UCACUUUUUCCGAGCUGGAUUAACCGACCUGUGAGCUUUGCUUUUAAUCAAUGGGUUGAGCUUCUGACCCAUAACUUUGUAUGAUUCCGCGGCGUCCUUAUUGCUUCGUUCUGAGCUCGUAGCCUCUGCUUAAUGAUGAUGAAUCAAAUCCUGUACCUUUUUAAGUGAUAAGUAAGCCUGACCUUUGUCAUGUUUCCCCCUG
RNAcentral lists this long non-coding RNA (202 nucleotides) under Manihot esculenta (cassava). Its description in RNAcentral is "long non-coding RNA (MESC_LNC005397)". The record is from RNAcentral. Lineage: Eukaryota; Viridiplantae; Streptophyta; Magnoliopsida; Malpighiales; Euphorbiaceae.